GUCAGGGUGGCUGAGUGGUCUAAGGUACCAGAURCAAGUUCUGGUCUCCACAUGGAGACAUGGGUUCAAAUCCCAUCUCUGACA
Molecule: transfer RNA, 84 nt
Filed under: Scleropages formosus (Asian bonytongue)
Lineage: Eukaryota; Metazoa; Chordata; Actinopteri; Osteoglossiformes; Osteoglossidae
Description: tRNA-Leu
Rfam family: tRNA
About the family: Transfer RNA (tRNA) molecules are approximately 80 nucleotides in length. Their secondary structure includes four short double-helical elements and three loops (D, anti-codon, and T loops).
Source: RNAcentral